RNAcentral lists this ribosomal RNA (565 nucleotides) under uncultured Glomeromycotina. RNAcentral describes it as "SSU rRNA". It matches the Rfam family "Eukaryotic small subunit ribosomal RNA", at positions 548 to 1114 of the family's 1831-position model. Lineage: Eukaryota; Fungi; Glomeromycota. The record is from RNAcentral.
UUGGAGGGCAAGUCUGGUGCCAGCAGCCGCGGUAAUUCCAGCUCCAAUAGCGUAUAUUAAAGUUGUUGCAGUUAAAAAGCUCGUAGUUGAAUUUCGGGGUCAGUAGGUUGGUCAUGCCACUGGUAUGUACUGGUCUCACUGAUUCCUCCUUCCUGAUGAGCCGUAAUGCCAUUAAUUUGGUGUUGCGAGGAAUCUGGACUGUUACUUUGAAAAAAUUAGAGUGUUUAAAGCAGGCUAACGCUUGAAUACAUUAGCAUGGAACAAUGAAAUAGGACGUUCGAUCUUAUUUUGUUGGUUUCUAAGAUUGACGUAAUGAUUAAUAGGGAUAGUUGGGGGCAUUAGUAUUCAAUUGUCAGAGGUGAAAUUCUUGGAUUUAUUGAAGACUAACUACUGCGAAAGCAUUUGCCAAGGAUGUUUUCAUUAAUCAAGAACGAAAGUUAGGGGAUCGAAGACGAUCAGAUACCGUCGUAGUCUUAACCAUAAACUAUGCCGACUAGGGAUCGGAUGAUGUUAAUUUUUUAAUGACUCAUUCGGCGCCUUACGGGAAACCAAAGUGUUUGGGUUC